UGCAGAGGGACCUGGACAGGUUGGGAGAGUGGGCAGAGAAAUGGCAGAUGGAAUACAGCAUAGCAAAGUGUGGAGUCAUGCACUUUGGGAGUAGGAGUAAAGGCAUACAUUAUUUUCUAAAUUGGGAAACAAUCUAGAAUUUGGAGGU
Molecule: long non-coding RNA, 148 nt
Organism: Amblyraja radiata (thorny skate)
Lineage: Eukaryota; Metazoa; Chordata; Chondrichthyes; Rajiformes; Rajidae
Exons: 3
Source: RefSeq, a predicted model, not a curated record